AUCCAGCUGACGAGUCCUAAAAAGGACGAAAUGCGAAAUCUGGAU
Molecule: non-coding RNA, 45 nt
Filed under: Trichobilharzia regenti
Lineage: Eukaryota; Metazoa; Platyhelminthes; Trematoda; Strigeidida; Schistosomatidae
Source: RNAcentral